This 315-nucleotide signal recognition particle RNA is filed under the name Candidatus Bathyarchaeota archaeon. RNAcentral's name for it is "signal recognition particle sRNA". It matches the Rfam family "Archaeal signal recognition particle RNA". The record is from RNAcentral. Lineage: Archaea; Thermoproteati; Candidatus Bathyarchaeota.
CGGUGGGUCUUAGGCGGGGGGCUAGGGGUCCCCUGUACCGUAAACCCUCUAUAUGACGGGCCGAAAGCUGAGGCUGAGGCGCCAGUGGCCACCCGCAACCCCAAUUCCGAAGCAGUGACUACCCGUCCCUUGGGGCUGGCGGUCGCUGGGCGGCUUCCGUAGGGAAGCUUGCUCCAGCGUUUGCCAGGUGAACCGGGCUAGGCCCGGGAGGGAGCAACCUAAGCCUGGACGUUCAGCGCUCAAGGGGGUGCGGGUACGAGUGUAGGGUUUGGGGGAGCUGGUGGAUUCUGGGCGUCGAACCUCAGUGACCCACCG